RNAcentral lists this ribosomal RNA (253 nucleotides) under uncultured bacterium. Its description in RNAcentral is "partial 16S ribosomal RNA". It matches the Rfam family "Bacterial small subunit ribosomal RNA", at positions 524 to 776 of the family's 1533-position model. The record is from RNAcentral.
UACGGGGGGGGCAAGCGUUGUUCGGAAUUACUGGGCGUAAAGGGUCUGUAGGUGGCUUGCUAAGUCAGACGUGAAAUCCCUCGGCUUAACCGGGGAACUGCGUCUGAUACUGGAUGGCUUGAGUUUGGGAGAGGGAUGCGGAAUUCCAGGUGUAGCGGUGAAAUGCGUAGAUAUCUGGAGGAACACCGGUGGCGAAGGCGGCAUCCUGGACCAACACUGACACUGAGGAGCGAAAGCCAGGGGAGCAAACGGG